ACGUAGGGGGCAAGCGUUGUCCGGAUUUAUUGGGCGUAAAGAGCGUGUAGGUGGCCAGAUAGGUCCGUUGUGAAAACUCGAGGCUCAACCUCGAGACGCCGAUGGAAACCAUCUGGCUAGAGUCCGGAAGAGGAGAGUGGAAUUCCCGGUGUAGCGGUGAAAUGCGCAGAUAUCGGGAAGAACACCCGUGGCUAAGGCGGCUCUCUAGUACGGUACUGACGCUGAGACGCGAAAGCGUGGGGAGCGAACAGGA
RNAcentral lists this ribosomal RNA (253 nucleotides) under uncultured prokaryote. RNAcentral's name for it is "partial 16S ribosomal RNA". It matches the Rfam family "Bacterial small subunit ribosomal RNA", at positions 525 to 777 of the family's 1533-position model. The record is from RNAcentral.